RNAcentral lists this ribosomal RNA (221 nucleotides) under uncultured bacterium. RNAcentral describes it as "partial 16S ribosomal RNA". It matches the Rfam family "Bacterial small subunit ribosomal RNA", at positions 326 to 539 of the family's 1533-position model. The record is from RNAcentral.
ACGCUCGACACCUACGAGGCAGCAGUAGGGAAUCUUCCACAAUGGACGCAAGUCUGAUGGAGCAACGCCGCGUGAGUGAAGAAGGUUUUCGGAUCGUAAAGCUCUGUUGUUGGUGAAGAAGGAUAGAGGUAGUAACUGGCCUUUAUUUGACGGUAAUCAACCAGAAAGUCACGGCUAACUACGUGCCAGCAGCUGCGGUAAUCUGAGCGGGCUGGCAAGGC